Molecule: long non-coding RNA, 1311 nt
Filed under: Parus major (Great Tit)
Lineage: Eukaryota; Metazoa; Chordata; Aves; Passeriformes; Paridae
Description: lncRNA (ENSPMJG00000011193.1)
Source: RNAcentral
GGAUGCAUGAAUACAGAGGGAGGAGAUUUUUUUUUUUUUUUAAUUUAUCGCAAAAAGCACUCACCAGAAGACCUACUGCAGUUAUUCCACUCAACUGCCAAUAGCGGCUGGAGCCCCUCGCAUCAGGGUAAUGCAGCAAUCCCGAAAGUGCCCAUUUCAGUCACCCGCCACCAAGUUUAGCAAUGCCGGGCUUUUGCCUGGAUAAAAUGACCUUACCCACAGGAGUCUCCCGAAAUAUUCCUCCGGUGCGAUCAGUCAGCGAGGCGAGUGCCGGUCACCACACUGCGCACUCGGCCGGAGAAGCCCCGUGUUUACUCCUGGGGCUCAGCUGGCCGCGAGUGCCGCGGACGCGGCGCCCAUCCAUCCAGCGCUGCCAGCUCCGCCGCGGGCGCAGGUCAGGAUUCUUCUAACAGAACAAGAAGCUGUUCCUUAUGAGAUCAACAGUGACGGUGUAGCAUUUUGUGAAAGAGGAGAGACAACUGUCUAAGCAAAGGAGAAAGUUUUAUUUCCAGCAAUGAAGAGAGAUGAAUAAGAAAAAAGAAUGAAGGCAGAGGAUAGUGGCGAGGUCUGAAAUGAAGGCAAUGUGAUCUGAAUGUUGAUGAAGAGGCAUUGACAAGAUGAAAGAUCUCUCUCUGUCGCGCUCUCGCUCUCUCAUUUCCAGUGUGUAAAAUCUGUCCUGUUGACACACUCCUGCGCUCUUUUUAUAUCACAAAACUGGAACAAACAGGAUUCACAAUCAAUGGUGGUGACACAGCCCCUGUGAAAUAUAGUUGCUAAGGGAAGGGCUCAGCACCUGCCACCCAUUUUCCCCCACUUUUUAAGACCCUCCAGUCCAUGUAACUGGACUUUAUCAAGGUUUGAGGAUGCUUCUCUGAGUAAUUUAGGCUGAUUAUAAAUACAGGAGGUCCAUGAGGUACUCACAGUUCACACCCACUUGCCAAGCAGACACAUUAUGUUUGAAAACAGAAGUUUGCCAAACUUGAAAAAAAAAAAAAAAAAAAAAAACAACAACAUUUUUAAUAGUAGAUACAUUGAGGUCAGCUUAAGUUCUUGCUUCAACACAUACUUUGGGGAAAGUGUCACUCUCCAGCCAUCAAGCCUUUGGUUUUGGUGGCAGUUCCUUUCAAAGAAUCAAGGUCUUCAAAUCUGCUUUCAAAGAAUCAGCUGUUGCUGAGAGCUCAGAAGAGUGUGUAUUCUCCCAGAAAAUACUUUUUUACAGUGUAGAACAGCCUUUAGUGGCAGGUAUCAAUAUGCACCUAAAUGUGUCAUCAUAUUGUGAAGGAUACAAUAUACAGACAACAAAAUUGUGCC